RNAcentral lists this unclassified non-coding RNA (290 nucleotides) under uncultured Ustilaginaceae. RNAcentral describes it as "sequence contains ITS2". The record is from RNAcentral. Lineage: Eukaryota; Fungi; Basidiomycota; Ustilaginomycetes; Ustilaginales; Ustilaginaceae.
AUUGUUUCGAACGCCCGCUUUCUUCUUUGUGAGAAGGUGGACGGAUCGGUAUUGAGGAUCUUGCCAUUUACCGUGGCUUCCUCGAAAAGCAUUAGCGCAUCCAUUCAAUAGGCAAGACGGACGAAAGCUUGCAUUUCGCCCUGUUCUUCCCUGCCGGGUUUUGAUAAUAUCAGGACUUCGGAGAGGUUGAGAUGGGUAAGAGCUGGACGCAACGGCUUGCUGUUUGGCGCGCUUCUGAAACCCGCCCAUGUCGAAAGCCUCCGGGCUUUCGGAAGGGAUUUAUAAUAAUU